CACCGGCGGCCCGAGUGGUAACCGUUUUUAUUGGGUCUAAAGGGUCUGUAGCCGGCCAAGUAAGUCCUUUGGGAAAUCUGGUAGCUCAACUAUCAGGCUGCCAGGGGAUACUGCUUGGCUUGGGACCGGGAGAGGUGAGAGGUACCUCGGGGGUAGGGGUGAAAUCUUGUGAUCCUCGAGGGACCACCAGUGGCGAAGGCGUCUCACCAGAACGGGUCCGACGGUAAGGGACGAAAGCUAGGGGCACGAACCGGAUUAGAUACCCGGGUAGUCCUAGCCGUAAACGAUGCUCGCUAGGUGUCAGUCACGGUGCGACCGUGAUUGGUGCCGUAGGGAAGCCGUAAAGCGAGCCACCUGGGAAGUAUGGCCGCAAGGCUGAAACUUAAAGGAAUUGGCGGGGGAGCACUACAACGGGUGGAGCCUGCGGUUC
RNAcentral lists this ribosomal RNA (430 nucleotides) under uncultured archaeon. Its description in RNAcentral is "bacterial SSU rRNA". It matches the Rfam family "Archaeal small subunit ribosomal RNA", at positions 474 to 903 of the family's 1478-position model. The record is from RNAcentral.